UCUCCCUCAUUCUCUCUCGAUGUCCCUCUCCUCCCUCUCUCUCGAUCUCUCUUUCCCUCGUUUUCUUCGACGUGUUGUUCCUUCUUCUAUCUGUCUCCAACAAUCGAAGAAAGUAGAAGAAAGAAGAGAAAAUCGAAGGUAAUGUCUUUCUGAAUGUCCAUCACUGGGUGCAUGUUAUGUUCCCUAUAACUUCAUAAGACCAGAGCAUUGACAUGGCAAGUUAUAUGGGAAGAGGAGACCCAUUAAAUGGUUCUGUGUACGUUUGUAACUUACCUCCUGGAACUGCUGAGAGUAUGCUGGCUGAUUUUUUUGGCACCAUAGCGUUGCUAAAGGUCAGCUAAUGCACACACCACCACAUAUGCCAGUGUGUUAGACAGGUGAAAUAUCCAAACCAUCAUCAGAAGGGUACCAAUGCAUAGAUUCCCUAUUCCAAGAAUCAGGUUGGUCCACUAGUCAGUUGGUCAGAAUUAAAUGAAUAAAUGUACGGUUAUGAAAAAAGCAGCCAAGGUUUUCUAAUCUGCAAACUUAAGCCUAGCCCCACUGUUAGUUGUUAAUACUUGUAAAACUAUGUUGUUGUUGUUGGUUUUUUUUUUUUUUGCUUGUAGAAUUAUACAUACGAAUGUUGAGCCUUUCAGCAGUUAGUUACUUUCUGUUCCACAUACAAUACUGUUUCCUAUCACUUCUAAUGUUGUUAGUCUCCCUAUAUAUUGUUACACAUACAAUUUGUUAUUGGUAGACUCUCAUGUCUUAUCUAAUGACACAAUACACGCUAAUAAUUAGCCAUUUGCAUUGAUUAGUUGUUACAUGAUAUUUCUAACAGCUUAACUUGAGUUAUUUGCAUGCCAAGUUUGCAAUUCAUAGGUAAUUUUUAAUGCCUGCGUAUCAUCCAUCACGCUCAGCCAGAGUAUAAAUCUUUUCUCGUUCUUAUGACCGAGCAGGUGAUGACUUGACUUGUAGCCGAUUCUACAGGAUAUUAAUCUUAAACCCAGAUGACUAGAGCAUGUGAAUCAACGUGCAUGGGUCUCACACUACAAGAAAAUGAAGCUUUACCGGCCCGUUUUUUACCGGUAAAUGUGAAGAAAAAGAAAAACUGGAAUUUAAUUGAAAUGAUAACAUAAGAUUGUGUUUCUAGGGUAUAUUUGAAGCAAAGAAGAGCUAGAAUGAUAAGUUCUAUUUUAUGUAGUUUUGAAUUCGCCGAGAUUUUGGUUUUCUGUUUGUAGAAUUUACGUUCUCUGAUGGGCAGGUGAAUUUGAAUUUCCUUGGAGUUUUAUUCUAUCUGUCAUUUUGGGGUAGGCGAUUUUGAUUUGUCCAAAAUGUGGUUAUUGUAAGUGUCAUUCAUGCAAGCAAUGGAUAAUCUAGUGGAAAUUAUUUGCAUCGAUUUGGAGGUGGUUCGGCAGCUUGGAUUUUGGCAAUUUUGGUGCUUUUGGAUUUUGAACCCAAAUCCAUGCCAAAAUCUUGUGUUUGGCACCUUGGAAUUUGGUGGAUUAGGAUUUGAAAUUGUCAAAAUUAAAAGGGCACUUUUCAUUUCCUGUUUAAAAGCUAGGUUGCAAGAUCUGAGGAUUUUCAUUCUUCUGCAACAGUCAUAUUUCAUAUUCCAUUCAUAAUCAUCACGAGUCCAACAUCUGGUCCCAUUUGGGUGUAGGGCCAAGCUCAUGAACUGUGUGAAUCAGUCAAGAUUCCACAUUUUGUGCUAUACAAAUUUUUUUUUCCUCUCAGAACUAUCACGAGAUCAAAUGUGAGCUCCUUGUUAAGACUACAAUCACGAGUGUUUCUGUCUACGGAUGAUAAGCAUUAUUCUUUCCCUUUGAGCAGUGUGGUGAAUGGGGCUCUGGAAUACCUUUCUAAGGAUCUUGCGAUUGCUGAGAACACCAUGCUACAAGGAAAGUGCAGCAAUGAUGCAUUUCUUUGAUCAUGAUGCAAAUCAGCAUUUAUUAUUCAUAUCAGUCCAAUUAAACUAAGUGUCAUGGCAUGCCACAAUUAACCUAUUUUAACCUUCUGACCUUACAAUUUCAUUCAAUCCACACUUGUUCACGCCUUAUGGAUUGUUAGCACAACCCUUGCAGGUGCCACUGUUGGUUCAUUCACUGGGGGAGCAUUAGCUGAUAAAUUUGGUAGAACAAGGACUUUUCAACUAGAUGCAAUCCCACUUGCAGUUGGAGCAUUUCUCUGGUCUGUGACAUAUCCUUUGACUCUUUGCACGCUGAGUAAUCAACCUCAGUCCAAGCUCUCCAGUUAGGCAGCAAUGUAGCAGUUUGUCCUCCAUGCUUGAUUAAGAAACACAUCAUUUGUAGUUUAUCUUUCAAAAGAAUAGAGCGAGCCAAAAGACUUCCUGGUGACCCAUGGGCUGAGUUAUGUCUAUUCCUAACUGAGCGAGCCAAAAGACCUCAAGUAGCCCAAAGGCCUAAUGACUGGGCACAUCCAAGCCUACCAUUCUUGUAAUAUUUUGAACCUUGGUGGCCUCUAAAUAUGUUAUCAAAGCCGUUGAUCUGAUGGGCCUCAAAUGGGUUUGCUGUUUGAACUUCUAUAUUAAACAAUUGCUGAACAUUGUAGUAUUUACUGAUCUGGUUUUUGGGAUUUUCUUCUUUCCUGCUCAAAGUAGAAAUGUUUAUAUUAUGAUUAUCAGCUAUUCAUACAGCAAACACACUCAUAAACGGCGAAAUCUGGAUUGAACUGAAUUCUAAACAAAAUGAAUUGUAUUUUUCACUGAUUUCUUUAAAACUAUAAUUUGAUUUUGGGUUUUCAGGGAUAUGUACUUCUCAUAAUCCAAGCACAUAAAAAGAGCCUCCAGCCGGCAGUGCCAUGCGAGAAGUCGUCGUGUGUGAAAGGUGGCCAAGCUCUAUUGUUUUACAGUGCAAUCUUCUUAAUGGCAUUGGGAGUGGGCGGGAUUCGAGGGGCACUUCCAGCUCUAGGUGUAGAUUAGUUUAACCAGAAGGAUUCCAAGGAGCGAAAAUACAUAGCGAGCUUCCUCAAUUGGUUCUUGCUCAGUAUAAAAGUAUCCAUCAAAGUUAUAGUAGCAUCUGUCUUGAAGAUGGGUUGCCAGUUAUCUUACUGCAUUCUGUUGUUAUUAUUCUCCUGUUCUUUCAGGUAUGAAUUUUCAACCCUGUUGCAACAAGUAUAAUACAUGUGAUGUUGUCUUUAAAUUGUUUGAGAAGUGCGAGUUAGAUCCUUGCACAGA
Molecule: long non-coding RNA, 3175 nt
Organism: Magnolia sinica
Lineage: Eukaryota; Viridiplantae; Streptophyta; Magnoliopsida; Magnoliales; Magnoliaceae
Exons: 9
Source: RefSeq, a predicted model, not a curated record